AGCAGCCGCGGUAAUUCCAGCUCCAAUAGCGUAUAUUAAAGUUGCUGCAGUUAAAAAGCUCGUAGUUGAAUUUCGGGACCAAUAUUUCGGUCGUGCCUCGGUACGUACUGGCAUCGUUGGUUUCUCCCUUCUGACGAACCAUGAUGUCAUUUAUUUGGUGUCGUGGGGAAUCAGGACUGUUACUUUGAAAAAAUUAGAGUGUUUAAAGCAGGCUCACGCUUGAAUACAUUAGCAUGGAAUAAUGAAAUAGGACGUUUGAUUCUAUUUUGUUGGUUUCUAGGAUCGACGUAAUGAUUAAUAGGGAUAGUUGGGGGCAUUAGUAUUCAAUUGUCAGAGGUGAAAUUCUUGGAUUUAUUGAAGACUAACUACUGCGAAAGCAUUUGCCAAGGAUGUUUUCAUUAAUCAAGAACGAAGGUUAGGGGAUCGAAGACGAUCAGAUACCGUCGUAGUCUUAACCAUAAACUAUGCCGACUAGGGAUCGGAUGAUGUUAAUUUUUUAAUGACUCA
RNAcentral lists this ribosomal RNA (507 nucleotides) under uncultured Glomeraceae. RNAcentral describes it as "SSU rRNA". It matches the Rfam family "Eukaryotic small subunit ribosomal RNA", at positions 569 to 1078 of the family's 1831-position model. The record is from RNAcentral. Lineage: Eukaryota; Fungi; Glomeromycota; Glomeromycetes; Glomerales; Glomeraceae.